This 477-nucleotide unclassified non-coding RNA is filed under the name uncultured Entrophospora. RNAcentral's name for it is "SSU rRNA". It matches the Rfam family "Eukaryotic small subunit ribosomal RNA", at positions 569 to 1051 of the family's 1831-position model. The record is from RNAcentral. Lineage: Eukaryota; Fungi; Glomeromycota; Glomeromycetes; Entrophosporales; Entrophosporaceae.
AGCAGCCGCGGUAAUUCCAGCUCCAAUAGCGUAUAUUAAAGUUGUUGCAGUUAAAAAGCUCGUAGUUGAAUUUCGGGAUCAAUAUGUCGGUCGUGCCUUCGGUACGUACUGGUAUCAUUGGUCUCUCCUUUCUGACGAACCAUGAUGUCAUUAAUUUGGUGUUAUGGGGAGUUAGGACUGUUACUUUGAAAAAUUAGAGUGUUUAAAGCAGGCUUUAGCUUGAAUACAUUAGCAUGGAAUAAUGAAAUAGGACGUUCGAACCUAUUUUGUUGGUUUCUAGGAUCAACGUAAUGAUUAAUAGGGAUAGUUGGGGGCAUUAGUAUUCAAUUGUCAGAGGUGAAAUUCUUGGAUUUAUUGAAGACUAACUACUGCGAAAGCAUUUGCCAAGGAUGUUUUCAUUAAUCAAGAACGAAAGUUAGGGGAUCGAAGACGAUCAGAUACCGUCGUAGUCUUAACCAUAAACUAUGCCGACUAGGG